Long non-coding RNA from Neofelis nebulosa (Clouded leopard), 3279 nucleotides. RefSeq lists it as uncharacterized. The transcript has 5 exons. NCBI's taxonomy places the organism in Eukaryota, Metazoa, Chordata, Mammalia, Carnivora, Felidae. The record is from RefSeq and is a predicted model, not a curated record.
UGUGGGAUCCCUGACCACGGGCUUGUCAUUGUUGGCUUUUUCAGCUCGCAGUUCGUGAGAAGAAUGCUCAGGACAACUAGGUUCUUGUUUCCUCCUCUUUCUUUGGUGCGCACUCUGGCACGACUGAAGGUGGAUGUGUUUUUCCUCCCCCAGAUCAAGACUCAGAUCUGGGACAGGGAGAUGGCGGGGCAGGGCAGGGAGGUCGCUUACUUGAAAUUCAGGUGUGGUCAUUUGACUUGCGUUUUUAUGGGUGUUUCCAGGGAUGAUGCCUGCACUGUUUGUUGUCUAGUAGACGACGCGGUGUUGCGACUCUUCUAGAAGUCCAUUAUUUUUCUGUAUCCAAGACUGGACGGGAUGGAAGCGAAGAGGCUGCCUGAGGGAUACACGAGGCAGAAACCAAUGGCUGCAAGACCAGAGACGCAGAACCCUCCAAAGAGAAGGUCUUUGGUAGAUCCAGAAACUGCUGAAACCUCUGUGAGUUAGAGCAGCUCUGACUGUACCAAGAAUGCAGACAAGGACAAGGACAGGACCCUUGCCAGUUUACUUCCGCAGACAUGGGCAGUGAUGUGUGGUGGCAUCCAGUGGCAGGGACAGAGUUUUCGGGGCAGUCUGGAUCCUGGGGACCUCCUCCGUUAACUGGACGAUUCUGCAUGCCCUACCCUGGAGACGCCCCGCCCCCAUGGACUAUUAGGCACGUCCACCUCCUGAACCCUGGUGGCCCUGGCGCCACCCGGAACCCCUCCACCUGCAACACUUGGUAAGAUGAUCUGAGCACUAGGAGUUGACUUGUAAAACACACUCACCUUAUUUUUGUUGCUGUUAGGUCUUGGGCCAAGGUGCAGAGGAGGUACCACAGACCAUUGUGAUGCAAGCAGAAUGUCUGCUGCCAUUACCACAUUCCUCAAGUUUCUCAGGAUCUCGUCUUUGUCCUUUCCCCCACCAUGGGUGGGUACAGGCGUCUCUUGUGGAGAAGGAAUGGGGCCGUAUGCAGCAAAUCAGACAUAGCGCCUCAGCAGAAAUGCCCCGUACACAGUCCACAUGCUGGGAUCUGUGAGGCAUGAGGCACAACGUAACGUACGUCCAUCUAGUUGUGCCCCCAGCCAUCCAUAGUUGUUCGCUGAGUGAGGAAUACAUCUGAAUCAGGGCUUUUGGGAGUCUUCAUCAAGUUAUAAGGGAUGGUUCUUCAAGUUCUUCUUGGGGAUCACCGGAGGCAUGUGGGACACCCUGUGCAUGUAAUUUGGGAUCUGACUGGGGCAAAGAGUUUAAGUUGUCGGAAGUAUGAGGGGAGGGUUUUUUGUUUUGUUUUUGGUCUCCAAACAGUCUACUCAAGUCAGAAUAAACCUCCAUCCCUUCUAGGGCUUUUUGCAGGUCCAGAAGUAGGUGUCACAACCAAGAGUGACAUCGACACUGGCUCUGCCAAAACUGCCAAGAAGCACAAAGUAAAUGCUGUGGCCAUUUUCAGUUCUAAGUCUUUACGGACCGCCACAUCUUUCUGUACAGGACACUCUCCUGCCAUUGUCUCUGGUUUGUGUGUCGUAUGGUAUGUCUGCUGUUUUGUUUUUUUUCCCCAAAUGCAAAACCUUUACUGCUGAGUCUACGGGCUUCCCUGUUUCCCAGCUAGCAUCUGUUUGUAGUAACUUGAGCAGCUAAGCGUGCCUAAAGGCUAUUUUGUAUGCAAGAGUCCUGGUCCUUUCCCAGGAUUGCCUUGCAGGCUGUACCUCAUGGACCACCCUUCACCACCAGUCAUGGGCUAUAGGCCACAUCCCCCUCCUCCACCUACUCUCUUUGUUAAGAUGACCUGACCUGGAUGAGUGGCUGCUAAAGUAUAUUCAUCUUCUUCAUGAUUGACUUUGUGGCAAUGAUGUAGAGACGGUUGUGAGUCUUGGCAAUCCAACUACAAACUGCCUGAGGACACUGUAGCAUGUCUCAAGUUUCUCAGGACAUACAUACAAUGGGCAGUGUCAUGUCCCUGUAAUACAGUGAGCUAUACGUUUCUCUUGUCAAAUGAAAGAGGAUUUUUUACACAAAAGCAGAUGUAUCAGCGGUACUGGUGUGUAUGUUGGAGAUACAAUGUUUUGGGUUCUGUAAUGAAUGAGGUGCACCCCCUAACUUUUAGAGUAUCAGGUGUCCUGUGUGAAAGAGGGACAUUCAUUAAAUGAUGCAGACCUUGUGAUCACCAAAAUGGAAACACCAGUGAAGGAUCCAGUGCAAAACGGGGAGCCUUGAAUCAUACAGGAAUAGAAGGGAAGUUGAGCACAGUAAUCAGAGUUUGAGGAGGUGCAGAGGGGAGGGUGUUGGGGUCAGUGAGAUGCAGUUGGAGGUCAUUCCUGGCCACAGCCUGAGCAGGGAGUGUGAGGUCCACACGGAGCUGCUAUGUGGGAUCGAUUUCAGUGCACAAUGUAGCGUUCAUCUCCAAAAUGUCAGUGUGUUGCCAAAGUGCACGCAGGUAAUCACCUAAAAAGAUUCUUGUCUCCCUGGAUUUUCCUGAAGGUUCUGGAUAUUUGUGGGGGGAAAAGAGCCCUGGAGAUAUGGGGAAUUUAACUUGGUCUUAUGAAAAUGCUGUAUGCCCAAGUUCAUAUCCCUCAGACUAAAAGUGGAGACAGGGUCUAGAUCAGCUGAGUCAUCCUACAAUUCAGGGCUGGCCAGAUGCCACCACUGCUGGACCCCUGCCAUCACCCUGACUACAGCUUUGCAUCUCCUCAGACUUCUCUCACAAUAUUAUAAUGCUUUGCCUGUGUUCCUGCUGUCUCAGCCCUAAUACCAGUUCUCAGUGGGACCUACACAGAGCCUCAGCUGUGUUAUCUGUGAAAACAGGGGUAAUAUGUGUUUCUAAGAACAAGAGAAAAAGAAGACAUUCAGUGCAUAAAGCAUCUGCAAAAUCUCUGGGAAGUGUCCCCUCACGCUUCUCACAGUUUCAAUUAAGAUAUUUCCACACAAUGAUCCUCCAAAAAAGAUAGUCACGGGAGUUCAUUAAACUAAGACUGUUAACAACUCAGCCCAGGGUGGGAAUCACUGUUUUAAAAAAUAAGACAAUGUCCUUCGUUUUUCUAUUAGAAUUCGGGCCCUGCCACACAAUGAAAGAAAAGAUAAUUAUGAGAAUGUGUACAUUCAGAGACCUAGAUCUGAAGACAAUCAUUUUCUAUUACACAUAAUCUCACAGAUGCAGCCACACACUAAAGUGUUCAUCUGAGGCCACAGCCACAGAUAAACUACAGAAGACAGAAUGCAUGUAGGAAAACAUAAGAUCAGAGGGAAAUAAACCAAAAUCUCUUUGCCUUA